Long non-coding RNA from Vitis vinifera (wine grape), 3868 nucleotides. RefSeq lists it as uncharacterized. NCBI's taxonomy places the organism in Eukaryota, Viridiplantae, Streptophyta, Magnoliopsida, Vitales, Vitaceae. The record is from RefSeq and is a predicted model, not a curated record. The transcript is spliced from 6 exons.
UCCCUUUAUUUUAUAAGUUUUGGACUUUUGGGAUUCCUUCUAGAAAUCUGAGUGCUACUGCGCUCACUGCUAUUCACAGAUCAGAUGACUCUUCAAAUGCUGGGGUAGAAGACUGGAGUGUUUGUUAGCUCAAGGGCUCGAAACUUCGUCCUCCAUUCCAGAUGAUAAUGACUUAAAAUUGAAUCCAUUGAAUUGGACACAGCACUCCGCCUUCCAAGGACGUUCAUGGCUUACUAUUCCACCUACCAGAGUUUUCUUUUCUUUUCUUUUUCCUUUUAUGCAAUGAAUUAAGUAAGCUAAGCACAUUCGUUGGCACCUUUGGCACACAAGCUGUCAAUGGCUUCUGCAGAUCGUCGUAGAGCGUCAUCGUCUUCUUCUACUUCUGCUCGCCCAUGGGCUUACGAAGUUUUCUUGAGCUUUAGGGGCGAAGAUACCCGGCACAAUUUCACAGAUCAUCUCUAUGCAUCUUUGUGACGGAAAGGGAUUCGUACCUUUCGAGACGAUGAAGAACUCUCAUGGGGGCGAGAGAUUGGAUCAAGUCUUUUUGACGCUAUUGAGGAGUCAAGGUUCGUUCUCGUAAUUCUCUCGAAAAACUACGCUAGUUCCAAGUGGUGUUUGAAGGAAUUGGAGAAGAUAAUGGAGUGUAGGGAAGAAAUGGGAAAAAUAGUUUUUCCAGUUUUCUAUCAUGUGGAUCCUUCCCCAUGUGCCAAAUCAGAGGGGGAUUUAUGAAGGAACAUUUGCCUAUAUGAGGUGGAGGGCUGCUUUGAGGGUAGUGGGUAAUCUUUCUGGAUGGCAUGUGCAGAAUGGUGGCAGGUCUGAGGCAGAUAUUAUUGAGGAGAUUACUAGUGUUAUUUUGAUGAGAUUGAACCGGAAACUCUUACCUAUUGACAAGAACCUCAUUGGGAUGGAUUGUUGUUUGGAGGAAAUUAUUCCAAAAAUGAUAGACUAUCAAAUGAUGUUCGCAUGAUUGGGAUUUAUGGACUUGGAGGAAUUGGAAUCUCCUAAAGACCCUGGAAAAUGCAGCAGAUUAUGCUAUCCAGAGAUUGUAUAUCGUGUAUUGACAAGAAAAAUGGGAACGGAGGCAAUUGAAGGCAUACUUCUAAACUUGUUCAGAUUGAAGCGGAUACACAUCACUACUGAAGCCUUUUCAAUGAUGAAGAAUCUUAGAUUGCUCAAAAUCUUUUGGGACUUUGGAUCUGCUUCUGAGGGAGGACGAUAAAGUAAAGCUAUCUAAAGAUUUUGAAUUCCCUACUUAUGAGCUAAGAUAUCUCUAUUGGCAUGGAUAUCCUUUGGAAUCUUUGCCAUCAAGUUUUUAUGCUGAGGACCUUGUUGAACUUGACAUGUAUUAUAGCAACUUGAAACAACUUUGGGAAAUUGACAUGCUUCUUGAAAAGUUAAAUACUAUCAGAAUCAGUUGCUCUCAACACCUCAUCGAAAUUCCGGAGUUCUUAAUUAGUGCGCUGAAUCUGGAGAAACUAAUGCUUGAUGGUUGUUCAAGUUUGAUGGAAGUUCACCCAUCUAUUGGAAGGCUGAACAAGCUUAUUUUAUUGAAUUUAAAAAAUUGCAAGAAGCUUAGAAGUUUCCAGAUAUUCAGGGUAAUAUGGAACACUUAUCGGAGCUUUAUUUAGCUUCAACUGCUAUUGAAGGACUUCCCUCUUCAAUUGGGCAUCUGACUGGACUUGUUUUAUUGGAUCUGAAAAGGUGCAAAAAUCUUAAAAGUCUUCCCACAUGUACUUGUAAGUUGAAAUCCCUUGAACUUCUCUUUCUCUCUGACUGUUCAAAACUAGAGAGUUUUCCAGAAAUGAUAGAGCAUAUGGAAUGUUUAAAAGAGCUUCUUUUAGAUGGAAUAUCUAUUAGAAGUGCUACCCUGUUCAAUUGAACAUCUAAAAGGCUUUGUUUUACUAAUAUGGGGAAAUGCAAGAAGCUUGCGAGUCUUCCAAGUGGCAUGUGUAGUUUGAGGUCUCUUGAAACACUUAUUGUCUCAGGUUGUUCACAGCUAGAUAAAUUGCCAAAGAACCUUGGGAGCCUGCAAGGUCUAGUGCAGCUCCAUGCAGAUGGAACUGCUAUAACACAGCCACCUGACUUAAUUGUGCUUUUGAGAAACCUCUGAGCAUUGAUCUAUCCUGGAUGUAAAAUAAUAGCACCCACCUCACUUAGUUCGCUCUUUUCAUUCUGGUUAUUGCAUAGAAAUAGUUCAGAUGGGAUUGGUUUGUGCUUGCCUUCUUUUCCAUAUUUAAGCUCCUUCACAAAUUUAAACCUAAGUGACUGCAAACUAAUGGAAGGAGCAAUCCCUGAUGGUAUUUUCUCCUUGAUCUCAUUGAAGAAAUUAGAUCUAAGCAGAAACCAUUUUGUAAGCAUACCUGCUGGCAUCAGUGAACUUAGUAACCUAAAAGACCUUCGGUUGGGGCAGUGCCAGAAUCUCAUAGAAAUUCCAGAGCUUCCACCAUGUGUCCAAGACAGAUCCGUACAAUUGCACAUCCCUUUCAGCAAGGUCAUCUGGUGUAUGCACGUUGCAGUGGCUACAAUUUCUAUUCUAUAAUUGCUCCAAACCAGUUGAGGACUAAUCCAGUGUUUCCUCUCUAACUACUUUGGCUGUUGUGAUGCAAAAAUUUCUUGAGAACAUUGCAUUUAGCAUUGUUUUUCCAGGUAGUGAAAUUCCUGAGUGGAUAUGGCAUCAGAAUGUGAGAUCUUCUAUAAAAAUAGAGCUACCUACAGAUUGGUAUAAUGAUGACUUCUGGGGAUUUGUUGUCUGCUCAGUUCUUGAACAUUUCCCUGGGAGAAUUACAUGCCAUUUGAAUUCUGAUGUUCUUGGUUAUGGAAAAAUAAUGAAAGACUUCGGUCAUGAUUUACAUUUGAAAGGCAACAAUGUUGGGUCCAAACACGUCUGGCUGGGUUAUCAACCACUUGCUCAUUUAAGAUUGUUACCAUUCAUUGACCCCAAUGACUUGAGUCAGAUUGAGAUUUCUUUUGAAGCAACCAACAGAUUCAACUCAAGAGCCUCCAAUGUGGUGAAGAAGUGUGGGGUACGUCUUAUAUAUGCAGAAGAGCUAGAAGGAAUCCAUCCAGAUAAUAUACAAUACAGCUCAAGAGUAGGGUAUGAUGUAGUCAAGAGAAGCAGUGACAGGGAAGGAUCCAAUGGAUGUGGAAGGGGCUACAGUUCUAGUGGCUGCAGUUACAAACCCACCAACAAUCCCAUGCUCAAGCUCAAGCACAAACCUGUCCAAGAAUGACUACCAUCAUCCAAUCCCUUCUUUCAAUAAAAUUUUCUCUUCUGUUGAUAUGGCCAUGCAUGCUUGAAUCGGUGAUAAUUUUGUUUGUCCAUGAUUAUCCAUGAUCCUAUGGCUCUGUGGACUUUUCAGGCACCCCCAGGGCAAUGGUCAUGAAGCAAAACAACUAAGAGAGAAUCCACAGGAUAAACCCUUUUUGCCUUAGCAUAUGGAGCAGAAGAUCACAUAAGCCUUUGAAUUCCUUACAGUCGAGCUGGGUGUCAUUGUUAGUUAUCAAUGUACGUUCAGGAUAUGACAAAUCAGUGGCCUUUCCUUGCCUUUUAUUUACAUAUACACCUUGUGCUUCAACCCCUAAUCAGUGGCCAAAAGUAUGUACCAUUUUUGGCCAGGGGAGAGUGUCAUUGGCCUGAUUAUGUCUAGGCUCUAUUUGAGAACAACCAUAGCAUGGUGUCGUGCAAGGUGGUAAUACUAAGAAAAAAUUUUCUUACAUUCACAUGUUUACUAAAUAAUCUUUUGCUUUUUCGAUACUUUGUCCAUAAAAAUAAAAUUAAACCAAGCAAAAAUAUACUGUGCUUUAUGUAUAGAAGUAAAAAAAUUUGCUCAUAGAUAUUUGAAAAUGCAUUUCAUCUUUCCUUCCCCUC